Dipodomys ordii (Ord's kangaroo rat) is the source of this 53-nucleotide non-coding RNA. The record is from Rfam. Lineage: Eukaryota; Metazoa; Chordata; Mammalia; Rodentia; Heteromyidae.
GGAAAACUGGCAGAGGGGCCAGCCCCUGGUCCCUCAACAAAAAAACCGGGGCA